Molecule: non-coding RNA, 28 nt
Filed under: Mus musculus (house mouse)
Lineage: Eukaryota; Metazoa; Chordata; Mammalia; Rodentia; Muridae
Source: RNAcentral
UGACAGUCGCUCAGGUCCGUACCUUAUC